Molecule: ribosomal RNA, 289 nt
Filed under: Salmonella enterica
Lineage: Bacteria; Pseudomonadati; Pseudomonadota; Gammaproteobacteria; Enterobacterales; Enterobacteriaceae
Also listed under: 3 other names
Description: partial 23S ribosomal RNA
Rfam family: Bacterial large subunit ribosomal RNA
Source: RNAcentral
CUGGAGAACUGAGGGGGGCUGCUCCUAGUACGAGAGGACCGGAGUGGACGCAUCACUGGUGUUCGGGUUGUCAUGCCAAUGGCACUGCCCGGUAGCUAAAUGCGGAAGAGAUAAGUGCUGAAAGCAUCUAAGCACGAAACUUGCCCCGAGAUGAGUUCUCCCUGAGACUUAGAGUCUCCUGAAGGAACGUUGAAGACGACGACGUUGAUAGGCCGGGUGUGUAAGCGCAGCGAUGCGUUGAGCUAACCGGUACUAAUGAACCGUGAGGCUUAACCUUACAACGCCGAAG